This 103-nucleotide non-coding RNA is filed under the name Jatropha curcas. Its description in RNAcentral is "Bacterial large subunit ribosomal RNA". It matches the Rfam family "Bacterial large subunit ribosomal RNA", at positions 2530 to 2632 of the family's 2925-position model. The record is from Rfam by way of RNAcentral. Lineage: Eukaryota; Viridiplantae; Streptophyta; Magnoliopsida; Malpighiales; Euphorbiaceae.
UGUCGGCUCUUCUUCACUUGGGGUUGUAGUAUGUUCUAAGGGUUGAAUUGUUCACCGAUUAAAAUGAUAUGUGAGUUGGAUUUAGAACAUCGUGAGAUAGUUC